AACGAACGCUGGCGGCAGGCUUAACACAUGCAAGUCGAACGCCCCGCAAGGGGAGUGGCAGACGGGUGAGUAACGCGUGGGAAUCUACCGUGCCCUGCGGAAUAGCUCCGGGAAACUGGAAUUAAUACCGCAUACGCCCUACGGGGGAAAGAUUUAUCGGGGUAUGAUGAGCCCGCGUUGGAUUAGCUAGUUGGUGGGGUAAAGGCCUACCAAGGCGACGAUCCAUAGCUGGUCUGAGAGGAUGAUCAGCCACAUUGGGACUGAGACACGGCGCAAACUCCGACGGGAGGCAGCAGUGGGGAAUAUUGGACAAUGGGCGCAAGCCUGAUCCAGCCAUGCCGCGUGAGUGAUGAAGGCCUUAGGGUUGUAAAGCUCUUUUACCGAUGAAGAUAAUGACGGUAGUCGGAGAAGAAGCCCCGGCUAACUUCGUGCCAGCAGCCGCCGUAA
This 447-nucleotide ribosomal RNA is filed under the name uncultured bacterium. RNAcentral describes it as "partial 16S ribosomal RNA". It matches the Rfam family "Bacterial small subunit ribosomal RNA", at positions 29 to 523 of the family's 1533-position model. The record is from RNAcentral.